UAAUGCCGGGAACUCUAAGGAGACUGCCCCGGAAAUCGGGGAGGAAGGUGGGGAUGACGUCAAGUCCUCAUGGCCUUUAUGUCCAGGGCUACACACGUGCUACAAUGGGCGGUACAAAGGGUCGCGAAAGCGCGAGCUAGAGCUAAUCCCAAAAAACCGUCCUCAGUUCGGAUUGCCACACUCGACUGCAUGAAGGUGGAAUCGCUAGUAAUCCCGGAUCAGAAUGCCGGGGUGAUA
Molecule: ribosomal RNA, 237 nt
Filed under: uncultured bacterium
Lineage: Bacteria
Description: partial 16S ribosomal RNA
Rfam family: Bacterial small subunit ribosomal RNA
Source: RNAcentral